AUAUCAAUAAGCGGAGGAAAAGAAACCAACAGGGAUUGCCUUAGUAACGGCGAGUGAAGCGGCAACAGCUCAAAUUUGAAAUCUGGCGUCUUUGGCGUCCGAGUUGUAAUUUGCAGAGGAUGCUUCGGCGUUGGCGCCGCCCAAAGUUCCUUGGAACGGGACGUCGCAGAGGGUGAGAGCCCCGUGUUCGGGCGGAUGCCUUCGCCGUGUGAAGCUCCUUCGACGAGUCGAGUUGUUUGGGAAUGCAGCUCAAAACGGGAGGUAAAUUUCUUCCAAAGCUAAAUACCGGCCGGAGACCGAUAGUGCACAAGUAGAGUGAUCGAAAGAUGAAAAGCACUUUGGAAAGAGAGUCAAACAGCGCGUGAAAUUGUUAAAAGGGAAGCGCUUGCGGUCAGAACUUGGCCGCCGUUGCUCGGGGAGGUCUCGCGCCUCCCUCGCUCUUCGGCGGCUGGGCCAGCAUCGGUUCGGGCGGCUCGAGAAAGGUCGCGGGAAUGUAGCUCCCUCCGGGGAGUGUUAUAGCCCGCGGCGCAAUAGGGCCCGCCUGGACCGAGGUCUGCGCAUUUGCUCGGAUGCUGGCGUAAUGGCCCCAAGCGGCCCGUCUUGAAACACGGACCAAGGAGUCUAACAUUCGUGCGAGUGUUCGGGUGUCAAACCCGUGCGCGCAAUGAAAGUGAACGUAGGUGGGAACCCCUCGUGGGCGCACCAUCGACCGAUCCUGAUGUCUUCGGAUGGAUUUGAGUAUGAGCACGUAUGUUGGGACCCGAAAGAUGGUGAACUAUGCCUAAGCAGGGCGAAGCCAGAGGAAACUCUGGUGGAGGCUCGCAGCGGUUCUGACGUGCAAAUCGAUCGUCAAAUUUGGGUAUAGGGGCGAAAGACUAAUCG
Molecule: ribosomal RNA, 882 nt
Filed under: Muyocopron laterale
Lineage: Eukaryota; Fungi; Ascomycota; Dothideomycetes; Muyocopronales; Muyocopronaceae
Description: partial 28S ribosomal RNA
Rfam family: Eukaryotic large subunit ribosomal RNA
Source: RNAcentral